Rosa chinensis is the source of this 94-nucleotide small nucleolar RNA. NCBI's taxonomy places the organism in Eukaryota, Viridiplantae, Streptophyta, Magnoliopsida, Rosales, Rosaceae. The record is from RefSeq and is a predicted model, not a curated record.
UUUGAGGCUGUGAUGUUGAUGAACUACCUAUUUUAUGAGGGGAGGUAUUCCCUCAUGAUUACAAAACUACCAAUGGAUCCUUCUGAGCCCUCAC